AAAGUUGCAAAUUUACUUCAUCUCCACAUUUUUUUGGACUGAACGUGCCACAAUUUUUGACCUGUCCAGGUGUUGCAAGCAAAGUUCCUGGAAAGUAAACUUUAGAUUUGUCAUCUCCCCGUUUCGAAAAAAGAUUUGUCAUCUCCACACUUUUUUUCUGAACUAUACUAGCCACAUAAUUUACAUAAACUUUUUUCACAUGCGAAUAUGAACAACAACCAAAAAUGAUUUGAGCAACUCACAAGCACAAAAUACAAUGCAAUUCUUUCCACACAUUUGUGACGACGUCUUCAUUUUUAGCAGAUGAGAUAGUAGUACAGGUGUUUAGGUUCAGUUUAAAAAAGAAGAGAAAGGUGGAAACAUAGUAGUUAUAAUUCUUGUAGGCAUUUCAACAAACAGUGGAGGGUCACCCAGGGGAAGAAGAAAUUGGGAUCAUGCAUCAACCUGGACUGUUGUGUGUGCUCGACUUGGAAGGCUGUGCAGCACGUGGUAAAGAUGGUGGACACGAUUCUACUUGGACUGUUGUCCGCGCUCCACUUCGACGGCUGCCAGUAACCAUGGUGGAUGAGCUCGUGGUCGAGGGCGGCAAAGGCGACCACCGGGGACUGUAGGUGGUCAAGCUUGUUCUUGACAGCGAACUCACAACGAGGCAACGGUGAAUGGCCUCGGCCGGCGGUGUUGGACCGUGGACGCAACGGUGCCAGACCACUCACCGGGACGAGGCGGAGUGGCGGCGGGGAGCAUCGCCGAGGGCAGCCAGAAGGUUGCACCUUUAUUCAUGUUUUCAGUUCAAAGUUUUUUAAGAAAUAACUGAACCAAAUGAUCUUGAGCUGAUGAAAAGGAUGCAUCUUGACCUGAUGUAAAUUAGCACCAUAUAAUAUAACACUAUUUUUUCAUAUGAGGCAAGACAACUAAGAUUGAGAGAAUACACUGAGCAUCAUGUUUAAUUCUCAGGUCAGUGGUCAAAUACUUAUGGCAAGUAUAUUUGAACUAAUGUAUCCUUUUUCUAGUUACCGAAUUGCUAACCACCCCAAAUAAACUCCUAACUACUUAUGGCAAGUAUUUUUUGAACUGAUGUAUAUUAUUUCUAGUUAAUAAGUUGCUAUACCACAAGACUGCAUCCUUAGAAGUGAAACGCCAACAUCAUUGGUUGUGUAAAAACACUCAAAAGAAUUGC
RNAcentral lists this long non-coding RNA (1177 nucleotides) under Triticum aestivum (bread wheat). RNAcentral describes it as "long non-coding RNA (TAES_LNC022752)". Lineage: Eukaryota; Viridiplantae; Streptophyta; Magnoliopsida; Poales; Poaceae. The record is from RNAcentral.